AGCGAACGCUGGCGGCAGGCCUAACACAUGCAAGUCGAACGAACUCUUCGGAGUUAGUGGCGGACGGGUGAGUAACACGUGGGAACGUGCCUUUUGGUUCGGAAUAACUCAGGGAAACUUGUGCUAAUACCGAAUGUGCCCUUCGGGGGAAAGAUUUAUCGCCAUUAGAGCGGCCCGCGUCUGAUUAGCUAGUUGGUGAGGUAACGGCUCACCAAGGCGACGAUCAGUAGCUGGUCUGAGAGGAUGACCAGCCACACUGGGACUGAGACACGGCCCAGGCUCCUACGGGAGGCAGCAGUGGGGAAUCUUGCGCAAUGGGCGAAAGCCUGACGCAGCCAUGCCGCGUGAAUGAUGAAGGCCUUAGGAUUGUAAAAUUCUUUCACCGGGGACGAUAAUGACGGUACCCGGAGAAGAAGCCCCGGCUAACUUCGUG
This 433-nucleotide ribosomal RNA is filed under the name uncultured bacterium. Its description in RNAcentral is "partial 16S ribosomal RNA". It matches the Rfam family "Bacterial small subunit ribosomal RNA", at positions 29 to 507 of the family's 1533-position model. The record is from RNAcentral.